CCCUUAGAUAUCCUGGGCCGCACGCGCGUUACACUGAUGCAUUCAACGAGCUUAUAACCUUGGCCGAGAGGCCUGGGCAAUCUUGUUAACGUGCAUCGUGAUAGGGAUAGAUUAUUGAAAUUAUUAAUCUUGAACGAGGAAUUCCUAGUAAACGCAGAUCAUCAAUCUGCAUUGAUUACGGCCCUGCCCUUUGUACACACCGCCCGUCGCACCUACCGAUUGGAUGGUCCGGUGAAGCCUCGGGAUUGUGGUUCUUGCCGCUUUAUUGUAGCGUGACCGCGAGAACUUGUCUAAACCUUAUCAUCUAGAGGAAGGUGAAGUCGUAACA
Molecule: ribosomal RNA, 328 nt
Filed under: uncultured eukaryote
Lineage: Eukaryota
Description: partial 18S ribosomal RNA
Rfam family: Eukaryotic small subunit ribosomal RNA
Source: RNAcentral